GCCUUCGUGGUGUAAAGGUAGCACACUCGGCGCGUAUUCGAGAGGUCCAGGUUCGAAUCCCGGCGAGGACA
Molecule: transfer RNA, 71 nt
Filed under: Stegodyphus mimosarum
Lineage: Eukaryota; Metazoa; Arthropoda; Arachnida; Araneae; Eresidae
Rfam family: tRNA
About the family: Transfer RNA (tRNA) molecules are approximately 80 nucleotides in length. Their secondary structure includes four short double-helical elements and three loops (D, anti-codon, and T loops).
Source: Rfam by way of RNAcentral